GUGCCUGUGAUGUAUUACUUCUCCAUAACAUUGUGAGAUAAAUGGAAUGAAGUGUUUGGCAGCCCCUGGAUCAAAAGAAAAUCUUUCUACUCUUUUUGAGGACCACCAGCCAUCAGGUGUCUCGGGUUCUGGGUGACGCCAGCAUUCACGGGACCUCAGAGGAGAAGAGAUUAUGUGAGACAGAGUCAAUGGCCACAAUGGCGGACGGAGGGAGUGCCUUACAAUAUGGCAACCCAAGAAAAUCACUGCGCAACAGGAAGGUCCAGGGCCUAUCUGAGACACAGCUAGAGAACCACAGACAAAGCCCAGUUAUGGUGAUCUGUCAGCCCAGAACUCACCUGCCCCCAGGAGCCAGAUGACCACGCAGCAGAGGAGUCUGGUGCCCAUGGCAGAGAG
Long non-coding RNA from Ailuropoda melanoleuca (giant panda), 396 nucleotides. RefSeq lists it as uncharacterized. The record is from RefSeq and is a predicted model, not a curated record. NCBI's taxonomy places the organism in Eukaryota, Metazoa, Chordata, Mammalia, Carnivora, Ursidae. The transcript has 3 exons.